CACUAGAUGACUGAAAGUAAGUAAUGGUCUCUUAAACCAAUUUAUAGUAAGUUAACGUCUACUUC
RNAcentral lists this transfer RNA (65 nucleotides) under Nicrophorus humator. Its description in RNAcentral is "tRNA-Lys". The record is from RNAcentral. Lineage: Eukaryota; Metazoa; Arthropoda; Insecta; Coleoptera; Silphidae.